AUUGCUAAUGGGGCCCGAACCUGAUGUAUUUGUCGGUCUGCUCCUGUUUGAUGUAUUCUACAGUCUAAAUGCAGUAUAGUAUUUGAUUGUUUAUUCUGUGGUUUCGUAUGCAUGAAUCACUAUUUAAUCUAUUAUGGUUUGAAUUAUUGUGAACCCGAUGUUGUGUUGCCUUAUUUGUGUGCGUUGCUGGUUUACGUAUUCAUGUUGAUUGGAUAAUUGAGACUAAGAAAAAUAAAAAGGGUAUGUGAAUUUAUAAAUGGAUAAGUUCGACAGCCUCACUAGAUAUCCUGGGAGGUGGUGGACGGACCGGGUCCAUAGGGAACCCUACCGGGAAUGAGGUCUCUCAUAUCGGACGGUGUAUGGAGACUUUAAAUGUUUUGGCGCUCAUACCGGACGAGGUAUGGGGACGACCCGCUUCACCUUCAUACCGUAUGGGGUAUUGAGGUUUAUGGUUUUGGUGCUCAUACCGGAUGGGGUAUAGGAACAGCCCUGGAAUUAAUAUGAAUGGUUCACGUGUAGCGGGGACCCCUAUGGAUCCCCAUGGAUACUAGUAAG
RNAcentral lists this long non-coding RNA (555 nucleotides) under Carica papaya (papaya). RNAcentral's name for it is "long non-coding RNA (CPAP_LNC013781)". The record is from RNAcentral. Lineage: Eukaryota; Viridiplantae; Streptophyta; Magnoliopsida; Brassicales; Caricaceae.